GAAGAGGUAGAUGAAUGUUUGCAAAAUUCAAUACACCGUUUAUCGGUGUGGAUGGUACUCAACUGUUCCCCAACAAGGGUGGCGCACGAGAGUUUCUUGUUUUGCUCAACUCGUAUGCCAAAAUUCCUUCCACCGCCCAACAUGUCCGUCGUCUGGAAAGUUGUACAACUUCCCUAAAAUCCAUGACCUCGUCCCUAGGCAAAACAGCUGAAAAUGCUCCCGCAUGGAGCCAGUCAAAAUGAGACUAUCGUUAAAGCUCGUUCGUAAACGCGACCCUCCCAGCGAGCCCCGUUAGACGGAUUGCGGCAGUUUGGCACCGGAGGCGCGCGUCAGUGCUCGAAAUCGACCGUUUAACAUCGGUCUCGUAACCGGGGUUCUCCAUACACACGCCCGAAAAAGAAAAAAAACAAUACACUGAAACAGGGAGCCCCAUGUGUUUUAAACCCUUUUCUGCGGGUAGCUCAUUUGGGUGGUGCUUUUAGCUUCUCCAAAAGUAGAAGAAACGCUACCUUCACUGAGGUUGAGUUUUAUGCCGUGGUGCGCUGGCAGUGGUAACCUCACAUUGGGUACAUGAUUUUUGGGAUUUGUUCAAUUGAAAACUGCUCCACUUCAGACUUGGAGCGCUCGCUUGCCAGUGCACGUGCUGAUUAAUUUUAGUGCACGUUUUCCACUCCCGCCCAUUGCUUCAGCGGCUGCUCCGUCAUUGUGUUACUGUUUAGUGUGCCCCUCAUGUGUGCCUACCAUGUACGGCGCCCCAUAAAGGUGUACGCUGCUGCCGGUAAGGUGUAGCCGUUUUUCGUACCACCUCCUCCUCAUCCCCAUUGCAAGCACUGCUCUUUUAUGUAUGACGAAAGCACUGUACAUGCGUAAAGGCGCUGUGCGAAACUGUGUAGCUUCGGUACGGCUUCAUUUCGGGGAGGGCGUUCUUCAGUGGACUGGGGCAUUUCGAAGGCCGCAAGGACAUGAUAGAAAAAUUGAUAUUUCACAUUUGCACUGGUUUUGCCGUGGCGAGCAGUGCUCAACAGUGCGCACUUUGGAAAACAUGGGUGUUGAAAAAGGUUACGGAUGAGUAAGCGAGCAAAAACGGAGAGAGAGAGGUUGAGAGAGUUGGACGAUUUGUAAGGAGCAGUGGAGCUUGGAAUUGCGUAGUUUUGCAAUUGGUAUGAGGGCGCUGAAUGUUUAUUAUUCGAUUUAUUUAAUUUUUCGGUUAAAAUUACAACCUAAUUUGUCUUAUUUGGUUAAUCGUCACUAGUUGUAUAAAUUAAACACAAUGAAUAAUCAUACAGUACAUCUUUGUGCUACAAUUUCUGUGACAAUAAAUGUUCAACUAGGUAAAGUUAUCAAAAAAUCGGUACUCAAGCAAAUAAGUGGGUUCGUCGCCUGAUUCUUUAUUAUUUUGCUUUAAAUUAUUUAACUGUAUACCAACUCUUUUGCUAAUAAAAACACCAAAUGGUGUUUUCUUUUAAAUCAUUGAUCAAUUUUAUUUGUUAAAUCAAUUAAGUAGCUGAAAUUUUACUAAACUACGCAACGCGAAGUUCGCAAACAGAGUUUCAGUUUAGUCGUUUGCCUACACCCUGGCUGCAAACGUAAACCCCUGAGGUUAUGCAUUCCGCGCUACACUAUUCCGCCUGCGUAGCCUUCGCUUGACUGUAGCUUUUGAGUAGAAAACGACGGACUGUUCGGUCCCUCACCACCAGGUGGCGUCGACAACAAAAGCCAGCUUGCACAGUGACAAGACCGUAGGACUUAUGAUUUUUAAAAGUUUUAAAUCUUCUAUCAAUAUGACCGAAGAUUUACUCGCGCAGUAGCGUGUUUUGUAAAUGCAAGCUUAAUUAUAUUUUAGUUUAA
This is a long non-coding RNA of Anopheles coluzzii, 1848 nucleotides long. RefSeq lists it as uncharacterized. The record is from RefSeq and is a predicted model, not a curated record. The transcript is spliced from 3 exons. NCBI's taxonomy places the organism in Eukaryota, Metazoa, Arthropoda, Insecta, Diptera, Culicidae.